Molecule: ribosomal RNA, 253 nt
Filed under: uncultured bacterium
Lineage: Bacteria
Description: partial 16S ribosomal RNA
Rfam family: Bacterial small subunit ribosomal RNA
Source: RNAcentral
UACGUAGGGGGCAAGCGUUGUCCGGAUUUAUUGGGCGUAAAGAGCGUGUAGGCGGUUUGGUAGGUCCGCUGUGAAAACUCGAGGCUCAACCUCGAGACGCCGGUGGAAACCAUCAGACUAGAGUCCGGAAGAGGAGAGUGGAAUUCCUGGUGUAGCGGUGAAAUGCGCAGAUAUCAGGAGGAACACCAAUAGCGAAGGCAGCUCGCUGGGACGUUACUGACACUGAGGCGCGAAAGCGUGGGGAGCGAACAGG